This 292-nucleotide ribosomal RNA is filed under the name uncultured bacterium. RNAcentral describes it as "partial 16S ribosomal RNA". It matches the Rfam family "Bacterial small subunit ribosomal RNA", at positions 505 to 796 of the family's 1533-position model. The record is from RNAcentral.
GUGUCAGCCGCCGCGGUAAUACAGGGGGGGCAAGCGUUGUUCGGAAUUACUGGGCGUAAAGGGCUCGUAGGUGGCCGACUAAGUCGGACGUGAAAUCCCUCAGCUUAACUGGGGAACUGCGUCCGAUACUGGAUGGCUUGAGUUUGGGAGAGGGAUGCGGAAUUCCAGGUGUAGCGGUGAAAUGCGUAGAUAUCUGGAGGAACACCGGUGGCGAAGGCGGCAUCCUGGACCAACACUGACACUGAGGAGCGAAAGCCAGGGGAGCAAACGGGAUUAGAAACCCGCGUAGUCC